GCUGGGCACAGUGGCUCAUGCCUGUAAUCCCAGCACUUUGGGAGGCCGAGGUGGGUGGAUCACCUGAGGUCAGGAGUUCAAGACCAGCCUGACCAACAUGGUGAAACCCCAUCUCUU
Unclassified non-coding RNA from Pongo abelii (Sumatran orangutan), 117 nucleotides. It matches the Rfam family "Metazoan signal recognition particle RNA". Rfam says of the family: The signal recognition particle (SRP) is a universally conserved ribonucleoprotein. It is involved in the co-translational targeting of proteins to membranes. The record is from Ensembl. Lineage: Eukaryota; Metazoa; Chordata; Mammalia; Primates; Hominidae.